RNAcentral lists this non-coding RNA (185 nucleotides) under bacterium. RNAcentral's name for it is "6S RNA". It matches the Rfam family "6S / SsrS RNA". From Rfam's summary of the family: E. coli 6S RNA was the first non coding RNA to be sequenced, but its function was unknown until recently. It consists of 184 nucleotides that fold into an extended hairpin structure with a large single-stranded internal bulge. The record is from RNAcentral.
AAUACCCUGCAGUGUUCGAUGUCGGGUUUUUAAAAUUGACCCAACAGUUGGAUAGAAAGGGAUUGUCACUGUCCUUUCGGUAAAGAAACAUGGGAAACUUUGAUUUUUUACCAAUAGGAUAUACGAUUACCACCUAUUUUUAAUAGGUCUAAUUUUAAAACUUCUUCGGCACAAGCGGGGUUUUC